GUGGCAACAUAGGAAGAUAUGUUGGUAAUAAGGAUGGGGAUUCUUGUUGGGGCAUGCGGCUAUCAGUAAACAGAAGAGAGCAAAAUCUCAUCAUGAGGCUUUCACUAGAGGGACAUAAGAUUGUAAGCAAGCAACAGGUAAAGAGUAAUUAAAGGGACACCACACUUGGAUGAAGAUGCACCAGUGGUGGAGGAGGAAAAGAGGAAGUGAUUCACAGUCAUAAGGUCUUAGAAAAACUUGAAACACAGGAAGUCAUUUCUCCGAUAAAUCGCGUGAGUGAUACCAGGGAAGAAUUUCCACUCUCCUCUUCAAGGAAUCAUGUAUGACUGGAGGAAAUGAUCAGACAUUGAAAAUUUAAUAUUUUUUGCAUUUUAAUAUUGAAAUGUAAUCUGAAGAUUUCUGUUACUUUGUAUUAAAAUAAUUAUUAAUUGUG
Long non-coding RNA from Equus caballus (horse), 433 nucleotides. RefSeq lists it as uncharacterized. The record is from RefSeq and is a predicted model, not a curated record. NCBI's taxonomy places the organism in Eukaryota, Metazoa, Chordata, Mammalia, Perissodactyla, Equidae.